AUGUCGCCCUCGGCUGCCUUGAGAGCCUUGACAGCCUUGGGCCUUGAGACGGAUGCCUGGGUCAUCACCAGCUCAAUGUCCUUGGGCUCGACACCAGUGUCGUCGACCUCCUCCUCGUUGUCCUCCUGGCCAAGGCCAGAUGUUUCAGGCUUGGAGAUCAUCUGGCUCAAGUCAGGAGCCUUGAACUGUUCAGCAGCCUGGGUCUGCAGCUGGGAGCUGAGGUCCUCGAUCUUGGCCUCACCGAAGAUGACAUAGGUAUCGGAGUUCGGGCUCUUGAACACAUCUGGCUUGGAGAUGACAAACAGUAU
This 308-nucleotide long non-coding RNA is filed under the name Setaria viridis. RNAcentral's name for it is "long non-coding RNA (SVIR_LNC010124)". The record is from RNAcentral. Lineage: Eukaryota; Viridiplantae; Streptophyta; Magnoliopsida; Poales; Poaceae.